AAAGUUGAUUUGACUUUCCCCUCCCACUCUCACGCCAAACCACAUCGAACAAUGAUAAACUAUUAUGCCAAGAGAGACUAGUGGGACUAUUUAAUUUACCAUAAAAGCCUAACAACCAACCCUUCCAAUUCAUUCUUUCACUUUGCAAAAGUCAGAACAUAGCACUACUCCCUGCAAACUCUCUCUCACGCCCUCAAUUAGUUUCUAACCCAUUUUUCUACUCUCAAAAGCAAAACUCAGCUCAACACCACCAACCAUGGGAGUUUCUUGCAUGCAAUCCACUCAUUAGUCUCCUCGGGUCAAUUAGAGCAAGGUAAGAAUUUGAAUCUCUCACUUCUCUUCUUUCUCAAUUCACGCCAUUCACCCUCUCACCCAUAUGGGUUUCAUUCUCCAACCUCUUUGGUUUGUGGCUUGCAUGUACCUAUUUUGAUGUUCUUGGAGCUGUCAUGUUUGGUUAGAAGCUAGAAAAUUAGUGGGAACUUCAAGGACUUGAUGAAUUAAUGGAAGGAGCAGAUUUGGGAAAAAGAAAGGAAUAUGAUAGUUCAAGCUUUUCAACGACAAUUGUCAGUUGCUAUCAUCUUCAAUUAAAAGGUGGGUUCUUAGGUCCCUUGCCUUAAGAAUUUAAUUAGAAGCUUAGUUACCCCAAAAAUCACACUUGUGCAUGUUAACAUAGGUUUAAUUUAGGAUAUUUGGAAUUAAACAUUAAUUGGAUUAAUUAACUAUUACAUUAAUUCCCUACAUGUUUGAAAUGAUAGAAAUUCAUGGAAUCUAGUGUAAACAAGUGAAUUGCAAACUGUUUUAGAGUUUCUGUCUUGAGAAUUAUGCAGGAUUUUCGUGUUUGAAUCGGUUCAUGCGAGCUAUGAAUAGGUGCAAAAGCCUCCCUGGGCUUGAGAAAUGCGCGUCUGAAACUUAUGAGCAGGUUCAUGUCUUCUGUGCAUAAGCUUCAGCAUGCAGUUUUUAUAAAAACUAGGAACCUUUGCACCGAUACGUGCCCUGUAUGAGCUGACUCAAAGCACGAGGAACAUAGUCAUGCAGAGAUGCAUAGGUAGCAUGAAUCGGUGCAUAGAGAGCCAAAAACAUAUUUUCAACAAACUUGGUUUCUUGCACCGGUACAUAUUUCCUUUGAAUUGAUGCAUCCUGGGACAACUUUUAUAUUUUAAAAGUAAUUAGAUUCCAUGGUUUCAUGUUUUCCCACAUGCUUUAAAAUCAAUCCAGACUAAGAAUUAGGUGAGGAAACUAUGAUUAUUAGAAUUACCCCGGGAUGGUUGUUAAGUUAAGAUUACUAAGAAAUUAGAAUAGUCGAGUAGAUUAGUGGUUAACACCCAAACCACCAUUCAUUAUAAUUUCGACUAUAGUAAGAUUUCCGUACAUUAGUAGGAAUCCCUUAAGUUAAAUAAUUAAUGUGAGUAAGACCAACGUGGCAUAGCUAUGUCACAAUGGGUAGUGGAGAACAUCCUGAGUGGAGAACAUCCUAAGAGGAGUACAUCCUUAGUGGACCUUUCGAGAUAUACUCACCUCGGAAGCUUCCUAUAAAAUGAAUCAAGAUGACUAUUGUGUGAUACAUCUUUAGUUUCUAUUAAGAGAAUUAUUAUGUUUAAGUCAUUCUUAUGAAUGUAACGAAUUAACGAUCGAUUCCAAUAAUGAGUCGUAAGAGAUAGUUGUACCUAGAUGGGUAGCGAGGAAUCCAUUGAGACGAAGUGACUGUCUCACCCCACUCCCUUUUGAUACAGAUAAACAGGUUGCUGAGCAGAGAGCUAUGGACUGAUCGAAGUGAAGUGGCAUUGGAUGUUACUGUCAUUGUUUAUCUGGAUAUUCUAUUAAGUCGUUGUAUAAGUUAGUGUUAUAACGUAUUUGUAUUGACGGGUUAUUUAUGGCUCUGAUGUAAGUUUUAAGUUACAUUAUGACAGGAAUGUUAUCAUUCAGUUUAGUCAAUACUUGUAUAAUGACAAGGCCUUUAUGUAUUAUGGGUAUAUACAACGAGUUUAAUUCAGUGAUUUUAAUGUAUCCCGAUCUUUUUACUUACGUCUCGGCUAAUAUUCUAGAUAAAUUAGCUGGGGUGUUAUACAAACUAAG
RNAcentral lists this long non-coding RNA (2073 nucleotides) under Trifolium pratense (red clover). RNAcentral describes it as "long non-coding RNA (TPRA_LNC005599)". Lineage: Eukaryota; Viridiplantae; Streptophyta; Magnoliopsida; Fabales; Fabaceae. The record is from RNAcentral.